This 2922-nucleotide ribosomal RNA is filed under the name Bacillus cereus. RNAcentral describes it as "23S ribosomal RNA". It matches the Rfam family "Bacterial large subunit ribosomal RNA". The record is from RNAcentral. Lineage: Bacteria; Bacillati; Bacillota; Bacilli; Caryophanales; Bacillaceae.
GGUUAAGUUAGAAAGGGCGCACGGUGGAUGCCUUGACACUAGGAGUCGAUGAAGGACGGGACUAACGCCGAUAUGCUUCGGGGAGCUGUAAGUAAGCUUUGAUCCGAAGAUUUCCGAAUGGGGAAACCCACCAUACGUAAUGGUAUGGUAUCCUUAUCUGAAUACAUAGGGUAAGGAAGACAGACCCAGGGAACUGAAACAUCUAAGUACCUGGAGGAAGAGAAAGCAAAUGCGAUUUCCUGAGUAGCGGCGAGCGAAACGGAACAUAGCCCAAACCAAGAGGCUUGCCUCUUGGGGUUGUAGGACAUUCUAUACGGAGUUACAAAGGAACGAGGUAGACGAAGCGACCUGGAAAGGUCCGUCGUAGAGGGUAACAACCCCGUAGUCGAAACUUCGUUCUCUCUUGAAUGUAUCCUGAGUACGGCGGAACACGUGAAAUUCCGUCGGAAUCUGGGAGGACCAUCUCCCAAGGCUAAAUACUCCCUAGUGAUCGAUAGUGAACCAGUACCGUGAGGGAAAGGUGAAAAGCACCCCGGAAGGGGAGUGAAAGAGAUCCUGAAACCGUGUGCCUACAAAUAGUCAGAGCCCGUUAAUGGGUGAUGGCGUGCCUUUUGUAGAAUGAACCGGCGAGUUACGAUCCCGUGCGAGGUUAAGCUGAAGAGGCGGAGCCGCAGCGAAAGCGAGUCUGAAUAGGGCGUUUAGUACGUGGUCGUAGACCCGAAACCAGGUGAUCUACCCAUGUCCAGGGUGAAGUUCAGGUAACACUGAAUGGAGGCCCGAACCCACGCACGUUGAAAAGUGCGGGGAUGAGGUGUGGGUAGCGGAGAAAUUCCAAUCGAACCUGGAGAUAGCUGGUUCUCCCCGAAAUAGCUUUAGGGCUAGCCUUAAGUGUAAGAGUCUUGGAGGUAGAGCACUGAUUGGACUAGGGGUCCUCAUCGGAUUACCGAAUUCAGUCAAACUCCGAAUGCCAAUGACUUAUCCUUAGGAGUCAGACUGCGAGUGAUAAGAUCCGUAGUCAAAAGGGAAACAGCCCAGACCGCCAGCUAAGGUCCCAAAGUGUGUAUUAAGUGGAAAAGGAUGUGGAGUUGCUUAGACAACUAGGAUGUUGGCUUAGAAGCAGCCACCAUUUAAAGAGUGCGUAAUAGCUCACUAGUCGAGUGACUCUGCGCCGAAAAUGUACCGGGGCUAAAUACACCACCGAAGCUGCGGAUUGAUACCAAUGGUAUCAGUGGUAGGGGAGCGUUCUAAGGACAGUGAAGUCAGACCGGAAGGACUGGUGGAGUGCUUAGAAGUGAGAAUGCCGGUAUGAGUAGCGAAAGACGGGUGAGAAUCCCGUCCACCGAAUGCCUAAGGUUUCCUGAGGAAGGCUCGUCCGCUCAGGGUUAGUCAGGACCUAAGCCGAGGCCGACAGGCGUAGGCGAUGGACAACAGGUUGAUAUUCCUGUACCACCUCUUUAUCGUUUGAGCAAUGGAGGGACGCAGAAGGAUAGAAGAAGCGUGCGAUUGGUUGUGCACGUCCAAGCAGUUAGGCUGAUAAGUAGGCAAAUCCGCUUAUCGUAAAGGCUGAGCUGUGAUGGGGAAGCUCCUUAUGGAGCGAAGUCUUUGAUUCCCCGCUGCCAAGAAAAGCUUCUAGCGAGAUAAAAGGUGCCUGUACCGCAAACCGACACAGGUAGGCGAGGAGAGAAUCCUAAGGUGUGCGAGAGAACUCUGGUUAAGGAACUCGGCAAAAUGACCCCGUAACUUCGGGAGAAGGGGUGCUUUCUUAACGGAAAGCCGCAGUGAAUAGGCCCAAGCGACUGUUUAGCAAAAACACAGCUCUCUGCGAAGCCGUAAGGCGAAGUAUAGGGGGUGACACCUGCCCGGUGCUGGAAGGUUAAGGAGAGGGGUUAGCGUAAGCGAAGCUCUGAACUGAAGCCCCAGUAAACGGCGGCCGUAACUAUAACGGUCCUAAGGUAGCGAAAUUCCUUGUCGGGUAAGUUCCGACCCGCACGAAAGGUGUAACGAUUUGGGCACUGUCUCAACCAGAGACUCGGUGAAAUUAUAGUACCUGUGAAGAUGCAGGUUACCCGCGACAGGACGGAAAGACCCCGUGGAGCUUUACUGUAGCCUGAUAUUGAAUUUUGGUACAGUUUGUACAGGAUAGGCGGGAGCCUUUGAAACCGGAGCGCUAGCUUCGGUGGAGGCGCUGGUGGGAUACCGCCCUGACUGUAUUGAAAUUCUAACCUACGGGUCUUAUCGACCCGGGAGACAGUGUCAGGUGGGCAGUUUGACUGGGGCGGUCGCCUCCUAAAGUGUAACGGAGGCGCCCAAAGGUUCCCUCAGAAUGGUUGGAAAUCAUUCGUAGAGUGCAAAGGCAUAAGGGAGCUUGACUGCGAGACCUACAAGUCGAGCAGGGACGAAAGUCGGGCUUAGUGAUCCGGUGGUUCCGCAUGGAAGGGCCAUCGCUCAACGGAUAAAAGCUACCCCGGGGAUAACAGGCUUAUCUCCCCCAAGAGUCCACAUCGACGGGGAGGUUUGGCACCUCGAUGUCGGCUCAUCGCAUCCUGGGGCUGUAGUCGGUCCCAAGGGUUGGGCUGUUCGCCCAUUAAAGCGGUACGCGAGCUGGGUUCAGAACGUCGUGAGACAGUUCGGUCCCUAUCCGUCGUGGGCGUAGGAAAUUUGAGAGGAGCUGUCCUUAGUACGAGAGGACCGGGAUGGACGCACCGCUGGUGUACCAGUUGUUCUGCCAAGGGCAUAGCUGGGUAGCUAUGUGCGGAAGGGAUAAGUGCUGAAAGCAUCUAAGCAUGAAGCCCCCCUCAAGAUGAGAUUUCCCAUAGCGUAAGCUAGUAAGAUCCCUGAAAGAUGAUCAGGUUGAUAGGUUCGAGGUGGAAGCAUGGUGACAUGUGGAGCUGACGAAUACUAAUAGAUCGAGGACUUGACCAU